This 329-nucleotide unclassified non-coding RNA is filed under the name soil metagenome. Its description in RNAcentral is "partial contains 5.8S ribosomal RNA, internal transcribed spacer 2, and large subunit ribosomal RNA". The stretch from base 1 to 120 matches the Rfam family "5.8S ribosomal RNA", at positions 35 to 154 of the family's 154-position model. The record is from RNAcentral.
GAUGAAGAACGUAGCGAAAUGCGAUAAGUAAUGUGAAUUGCAGAAUUCAGUGAAUCAUCGAAUCUUUGAACGCACAUUGCGCCCUCUGGUAUUCCGGGGGGCAUGCCUGUUCGAGCGUCAUUAUAACCACUCAAGCUUUCGCUUGGUAUUGGGGCUCGCGGUUCCGCGGCCCCUAAAAUCAGUGGCGGUGCCUGUCGGCUCUACGCGUAGUAAUACUCCUCGCGAUUGAGUCCGGUAGGUCUACUUGCCAGCAACCCCCAAUUUUUACUGGUUGACCUCGGAUCAGGUAGGGAUACCCGCUGAACUUAAGCAUAUCAAUAAGCGGAGGA